Non-coding RNA from Micromonospora echinospora, 75 nucleotides. NCBI's taxonomy places the organism in Bacteria, Bacillati, Actinomycetota, Actinomycetes, Micromonosporales, Micromonosporaceae. The record is from Rfam.
CUUGACCGACCCGAGCAGCAGCGGCCGGUCGGACGGCCGGUCCUGCCCGUACGUGGCGAGCAGCGCCUGCGCCUC